This is a long non-coding RNA of Pogoniulus pusillus (Red-fronted tinkerbird), 826 nucleotides long. RefSeq lists it as uncharacterized. Lineage: Eukaryota; Metazoa; Chordata; Aves; Piciformes; Lybiidae. The transcript has 4 exons. The record is from RefSeq and is a predicted model, not a curated record.
UGAAAGCACCUUUGCAAGCUCAGCUGGAAUGUUCUGCUGAGAUUCCAGCGGGGGGGAGGUGAUGUAGUAUUUAUUUUCCCCCUUUUCAGGCUGUAGCUGUAUGGCUUAUAGAAAACUCUUGGGCAUUGACACGUUCCAGCCAGGAAAAUGUGCUCCAUGGAUGUAAAAUGCUGUGUGUUUAGCAAGUUAAUGUGGUGGAAGACUGCAGAAAUCUCUUCAGCAACCAGCCCAGUGGCAGGCUGAGAGUUGAAGUCUAGCGAGCACAUGAUGGAGAGGCAGCGAGAGAUCUUCUGAUGUGAUGCUCUCAGGGGUGUCCUGCCCACCAACACGGUUUGGUCACAUCGUGGCUAGAACACACCAUGUGUGCCUCCCACAGCACUCAAUCUCUUGGUCAGAAUGAUCCUCUUUUGGUCUCACUUUGCAGCGUCAUAGCAGAUUCAUGGCUUUGUGCCCAAAUGUGUGAAUUUAGCAGGGUGAGAGUAGAACAACCCCCAGGGACGUGGGGCUCCCCCAAGAACGCAGCUCAGGUGGGACUUGAGCUCCCCACAUCCAACCCCACUCCGGCCACAGCGCCGUUAUUGCUCCGAACUUUAGCUGAGCACACACCGGCAGCCGCAGCCUCGCUCCACCGCGAAAACACCGGGGGUGGACUCGAUGAUCUCUUUAGGUCCCAACCUUGACGUCCUGCGAGCAGCGGGAGCGUUGCUGCCGUUUCCAGCCGCCCACCCGGGGCAGGACUCAGGGAGCAGCAUUGUGCCCCCAACCCCCUUACAUUCCCCCCGCGGCGGGGGGCGAGAGCUGGGUGGCGGCCGGCGGGGGGAGGCGG